This is a long non-coding RNA of Sus scrofa (pig), 817 nucleotides long. RefSeq lists it as uncharacterized. The record is from RefSeq and is a predicted model, not a curated record. Lineage: Eukaryota; Metazoa; Chordata; Mammalia; Artiodactyla; Suidae.
CCUGGGCUCAGGGAGUUGGGCGUGGGGGACGCCGACGCUGUCAUCGCUCCUUAGGUUUCGCCUGCCAGGGCUCCCAGUAAAGAGUUGCAGUAGAAGCAGACGGCGUGGAUGACAGAUGCUUGGCGAUACUGCAUUUGGUGCUGAUUUGGCGUCAACAAUGAGCCUUUUCUUCGGCCGUAAAUAGAAAAAUGUGGGUGUGGACAUAAUGAAGCAAUUGUAUGGCUGGAAAUUAGAUACUUAGAAUUCUCUGGGCACAUAUCAAGAGACUAGCUGUUUCUUUGAAUAAAUAUCAUGGCAAUAAAAGGACACAAAGGCCAAAAAGCUGAGCCUACCUGACCUCUGCCUUACAUAGAAAUGAUUGUGACCUUUGGAUGUUGGAAAAUGAAAAACUUUGGCAGGUGGAAGCCAGGACAUCUUAUGGUGAAGCACCUAUUAGCUGAAACAUGGCAAAAUUCUGACACUGUCGACUGUGGACUAGUGGCUUUUUCACUCCCAGCUCCGCAGAGAUACUCCAUUUGAGUGAAACCUGCACGGCCCUGUAGCCUAAGCCAGCAACCAAAAGGGGAAUGCCGGAUUUCAAAAGCAAUAAAAGAAAACAAAACCAGACAGAGAACAGGUCUGUUUUCUAGGACAUAUCAACCUUACACCACGUUGCCAGAAUCACAUUUUAUUGAAGAUGACAAACAGAUAAAAUCCCGCCAUUGCUGAUGGAAGACGUCUUUUGGGCCUACACUGCCAGCUUACGGCACUGGCCUAUGCCAGAGCCACAGCAAUGCCAGAUCCAAGCCACGCCUGCGACCUACACCACAGCUCAUGG